UACCCAGAGUUGUUCAUAUUUUGCUGUGUAAAGUUGCAUUUCAACUUAGAGGUGCAAUGUUGCAUUAGGAUUUAAAGCUCCCUGGAUCUCCCAGACCCACAAUCCACAACAACAGUCCAAUCAAACGACCUUUGGUGGGUCAGCAAGAAAGAAAAGGAAAGUCAAGACAAGUGGAAGAUAUUUCAUACAGGAGGAUAAAUAAUGCUGCUUAAAAUGGUGUACCAUCUUUUUUUACAAAGUGACAUGAAGUUAAAACAAUUAAUGACUUCAAGUCUAAUGUGAGUUCAUUGUACUUUGGAUUCAACAGCCACAAAAAACCCAAAAGUCACCCAUUGGACACGCAAGUCCAUCUGAAGAGAUUUAGGCAAGUCCACCCCAUCUGUGACUGCAGGUGUGGAGAACAGAGCGUAGAAGGAGUUGGUGGGAGUGAAUUCUUAUCAAUAUGAUGAAUUAUGGUGCAGUCACUGAUCAGGAAUUGAGAAAGUGGCAGCAUCUCCCCCCUUCCAACCCCAAAAUCCCCCUGAAGCCCCCAGGAGUGGGGUCAGCACCGCCCUGGACACAGGGAAGAGCUCUCGGAAGGAUUUCCAUCCAAACCAGUGUCCCCGUGCACGAAAAAAAUCGCAGCUGAAAGAUGUUUUUUCAUGCAGUGAAUUCACCAGCUGUAAGCAGAGAGCAGA
This is a long non-coding RNA of Pipra filicauda (Wire-tailed manakin), 677 nucleotides long. RefSeq lists it as uncharacterized. The record is from RefSeq and is a predicted model, not a curated record. The transcript is spliced from 3 exons. Lineage: Eukaryota; Metazoa; Chordata; Aves; Passeriformes; Pipridae.